GCCCCCAUUCUCACUGACACGACGUGGCCGGGAAAUAAACAAAGACCAGACUGUGCACGGGAAGAGGUAACGGGCUCACGGCUCGGCUCAAGGGGACAGCAGCACGUGGGACGAUAAAGGUAAGAGAGUUUCCUCAGGCCUGAAACGUUCAACUUUAUACAGUCCUUUAAACUCUUACUGAAGGGCCACAUACCGCUAAGAUUUAAAGCA
This 210-nucleotide long non-coding RNA is filed under the name Anser cygnoides (Swan goose). RNAcentral's name for it is "lncRNA (ENSACDG00005002197.1)". Lineage: Eukaryota; Metazoa; Chordata; Aves; Anseriformes; Anatidae. The record is from RNAcentral.